Stegodyphus dumicola is the source of this 72-nucleotide non-coding RNA. Lineage: Eukaryota; Metazoa; Arthropoda; Arachnida; Araneae; Eresidae. The record is from the annotation of a RefSeq genome assembly.
GCCUUCAUGGUGUAAUGGAAGCAUACUCGACGAGUAUUCGAGAGCUCCGGGGUUCGAAUCCCGGUGAGGGCA